GAUCUUGGCUCAGAACGAACGCUGGCGGCGCGUCUUAAGCAUGCAAGUCGAGCGGGAGGGGCAGCGAUGCCCCGAGAGCGGCGGACGGGUGAGUAACGCGUGGACAACCGACCCUCCGGUGGGGGGAUAGCCGAGCGAAAGCGCGGAUAAUACCGCAUGAGACGGAGCGGGGGCGGCCCUGUUCCGGGAAAGCGCCUGCGGGCGCGCCGGGGGACGGGUCUGCGUCCCAUCAGCUAGACGGCGGGGUGAAGGCCCACCG
This 259-nucleotide ribosomal RNA is filed under the name uncultured bacterium. RNAcentral describes it as "partial 16S ribosomal RNA". It matches the Rfam family "Bacterial small subunit ribosomal RNA", at positions 15 to 270 of the family's 1533-position model. The record is from RNAcentral.